Long non-coding RNA from Gallus gallus (chicken), 1074 nucleotides. The record is from Ensembl. NCBI's taxonomy places the organism in Eukaryota, Metazoa, Chordata, Aves, Galliformes, Phasianidae.
AGCAGACUUACUGGUGUUAUCAACAUAACUUGUCAAGACCAGAUCGUAUCAAACCAGUCUUUUUGUUUGUUUUUUCUAUGAUGAGGUAACAAAUCAUGUAGAUAGGCAAGAAUGCAGUAAGGUUUUUGACACUGCCUCAGACGGCAUUUUCAUUCGUAUCCAGGGACUUGUGGUCUGAAUCAUGGGCCUCUAACUUUGCUGGGUUCAACAAACAAUACUGAAAAAUUCUGCAUUUCUUUUCUUGUCAGCCUUGGUUUGAAGGUUUCAUGAACACACUGCUGCGUGAGUGCCAUGGCUAAGGGACCACUGAUUCUUGAUGAGACUGCUGCAAAAUGCCCACAGUGCUGCUUGGAAAACGACAGACAAGAAUGAGCUGUCAGAAAUUCAAUAUUACACAGAAAGCAUUUAUCAGGGAGUGUAGGAUCAGGAUUUCAUGGAUGGGACUGGUAUUCCAGGGACAUGAGUAUAGUCCUUACUGACUCUACUGUGAUCUUAGAUGGAAGCAGAGUGGCAGUCUGACAAAAUGUCAUCUGACAUGGAAAGAAAACAAAGCAAUGAGGUGGAAUGGAAUUCCUCCAUGCAGAUAAAAUGGCACCCACUGACAUUCAUUGAUGCAUGCUGAAAGUUUGUGGAGACCAAAAUGUGGAGAUGAGCACACUGAGGUGGUGGGUGAUGCAUUUCAACAGUGGCAAUAGUGAUGUGAAAGACAAACUACUUCCAAACGGCCAUGCACAGCUGUCACAGCAGCAUCUCUAUCAGCUCCUCACUCAUGCAUUCCUCCUCACUCGUUGUGUAUUAUCACAAAUUUGCACCAACUGUAUCCCACAAAUGCUCAGAAAGGAACAGAAAGAACAAGGCAAGUUUGUCAGAACCAAUUGAAUAAAUAUGAGGAUGAAGACUACAGUUUCCUGGAUUACAACAUUACUGCCAAUGGGAUGUUGUGUCACCACUACGAGCUGGAGUUAAAAUGGCAAUCCAUGGAGUAGUGACAUGUGAAUUCACUAUCAAAGAAAAAGUUCAAGACAUCCCUCAGCAGGUAAAGUGAUGUGCACUACCUUUUGGAAGAGGAAGGGG